AAACAAAACCAGAACAAGACAGAGCAAAACCGGAAAAGACUGUUUCUCAUGAAGAAAAAGUUGUCAAGCAGGUAAAAGCUAGCACAAUAGAAAAAACAGAAAAAGCUGAACAUCAAG
Long non-coding RNA from Suricata suricatta (meerkat), 117 nucleotides. RefSeq lists it as uncharacterized. The transcript is spliced from 4 exons. The record is from RefSeq and is a predicted model, not a curated record. Lineage: Eukaryota; Metazoa; Chordata; Mammalia; Carnivora; Herpestidae.